CCUACGGGAGGCAGCAGUGAGGAAUAUUGGUCAAUGGCCGAGAGGCUGAACCAGCCAAGUCGCGUGAGGGAAGACUGCCCUAUGGGUUGUAAACUUCUUUUGUAGGGGAGUAAAGCGAGUCACGUGUGCCUUUUUGAGUGUACUUGAUGAAUAAGCAUCGGCUAACUCCGUGCCAGCAGCCGCGGUAAUACGGAGGAUGCGAGCGUUAUCCGGAUUUAUUGGGUUUAAAGGGAGCGUAGGUGGAGGUGUAAGUCAGCGGUCAAAUUGUGGGGCUCAACCUCAUACUGCCAUUGAAACUGCAAGCCUUGAGUACAGGAGAGGUAUGCGGAAUGCGUGGUGUAGCGGUGAAAUGCAUAGAUAUCACGCAGAACUCCGAUUGCGAAGGCAGCAUACCAACGCGCGACUGACACUGAUGCACGAAAGCGUGGGUAUCAAACAGGAUUAGAUACCCGAGUAGUC
Molecule: ribosomal RNA, 459 nt
Filed under: uncultured bacterium
Lineage: Bacteria
Description: partial 16S ribosomal RNA
Rfam family: Bacterial small subunit ribosomal RNA
Source: RNAcentral